Strongylocentrotus purpuratus (purple sea urchin) is the source of this 122-nucleotide RNA transcript. RefSeq lists it as uncharacterized. The transcript has 2 exons. The record is from RefSeq and is a predicted model, not a curated record. NCBI's taxonomy places the organism in Eukaryota, Metazoa, Echinodermata, Echinoidea, Camarodonta, Strongylocentrotidae.
AAGCAAAGAUUUCAUGACUUGGCAUACACGCCCUCUAUCGUCGACCUCUUUUCAUUCUUGCGAAGCAGAUUGUUUCCAAGAUAUCUUGUAGCUGUACCAACUCAGCCACAACACAGCCAAGA